Molecule: long non-coding RNA, 486 nt
Organism: Drosophila subobscura
Lineage: Eukaryota; Metazoa; Arthropoda; Insecta; Diptera; Drosophilidae
Exons: 2
Source: RefSeq, a predicted model, not a curated record
AGAAAUAUCACAGAGUCGGAGGCGGCGGCGGAACGAUCAAGCGCGACGUGCAAAUGUCAGAGGCAGACUGGCGUGCGACAAGGCCAAGCGAACUUCAUUUACCACCGAAAGCAGAGGCAGAGGCUGACUCUGGAGUCGGACGGGACUGGAGUUCCAUGUAGUCACGAGCAGCAGCAGAGCUUCAGUCAACAAAUUGCAAACGUUGUGCAAACGCAACGCCAAAGAGCUUCUGCUGCUGCUCGGGGAUCACUCAUUAUUUGUGCUAUUAAUUGAUCAGUAGGUCGGAGACUCGCACGGGUCAAUGCUAUCAGCAUACAAUGUUUUUCAAUCAAUUUGGUUUUAAGCGGCACGAUGAGCUCAGGCUUCGUUCCAGGCUUACAUUCAGCAGCUGUUGCCGGUAAUUUUAUGCUGUGAUGUCAAAUUUAUUAUUAUUACUGCCUCUGAAUGGUAAGCAAAAUAAAUAUUUUAGACAGAAAAAAAAAAAAA